AUGCACCUCGCCUGUCUCAUCCUCACCGUCUUCCUGGGACAGCUCCUGGGCACCACGGGACAGGUCACAGUCACCCAGGAAGAUGGACCAGUCAUGGUGAAGCAGGGACACACCUUCCAGACCACCUGCAAAUACCAGACCAGUAAUUUUGGUGGAUUACUCUGGUACCAGCAGCAGAAAGGCCAAGCCCCACAGCUGGUCUCCUAUCAAGCAGGGCCUGGCUCCAAGCGCAAUGGCCGUAUCACCACGCACCUGAACACCACGGGGAAAUCCAGUGUCCUGCGGGUGGAGGAAGUGCAGGGCUCUGACACUGCCUUGUACCUCUGUGCUGUGCAAGACACCCUGCUGCAGGGAGCUUCCUCAGCUGUAUGUGUGCAUGGUGGAUCUGUUUUCGAUGCGGUGUCGGUGGUGUGCGGGAUGGGACACGGCUGUCUCUUGGCCCUGGCGAUGCCGAAAUUGUUGCGUGGCUGA
Non-coding RNA from Hirundo rustica (Barn swallow), 471 nucleotides. NCBI's taxonomy places the organism in Eukaryota, Metazoa, Chordata, Aves, Passeriformes, Hirundinidae. The record is from the annotation of a RefSeq genome assembly.